RNAcentral lists this long non-coding RNA (382 nucleotides) under Struthio camelus australis. Its description in RNAcentral is "lncRNA (ENSSCUG00000010675.1)". The record is from RNAcentral. Lineage: Eukaryota; Metazoa; Chordata; Aves; Struthioniformes; Struthionidae.
CUAGAGUGCCAACAGAUGUUCCACAGGUGAUUAGAGUCUGCACAGACUUUAAAAAAUAUUAUCAUGCACUUUACCAAGCCAGUAAGAAACCAGCAAACAAGUGUCUACCUACCUCUGUACAUGUGUGCUACUAAUCCUUUAAAGAUCAUCAUUAAUUUUUCUCCCCUUUAUAAUGGAUCUGAGCUUUUUUUUUUGGAUGUGGAUGGAGUUUUGCCAGAAAGGAUUUUGUGGUUUCAUUCAGCAAUAUGAAAACUCGUGUGCUUGUCUCUGCAGAGGAAGAGAGGAAUAUAGCUUCGGUGAGUCCUGGAUGCUGCAUACUCUCUCUACAUGUCUUCGGGUACAGCUCGCAGGCAGUAUGAGGCCAUGUGAACUAACAAUUUAG